This 7964-nucleotide long non-coding RNA is filed under the name Homo sapiens (human). RNAcentral describes it as "non-protein coding lnc-CNPY1-1:3". The record is from RNAcentral. Lineage: Eukaryota; Metazoa; Chordata; Mammalia; Primates; Hominidae.
ACUUUUGUGGUCCGCUUUCCUUGCUGAUGGAGAGGAAUAGUGUCACUCCCAUUUGACUCGGUAACCCGGCAGCUUCCUGUCUUAAACGCAGAGCUGGCGCGCAGGACACUCCUCCUGCAGACACUUAUUACACAAGUUCAUCUGCACCUCGUGCAAAGCAGCCCUGAAAGCUCAGGCUUGAAGACAAAAUGUGGAGCCCAGGCUCCUUCGAUUGAAAACCUCUCUACGAGGACACUCUCCGCAGUGGGCGGCCAGAAAGGAUUUCGGAUCAAGAUCCGCAGAGUGGUGAGCAUCUCCCAGGGUCCGGGGCUGAACUGACUGCAGGCUGGUAGCCCUUCGGCCCGGAGGAGAAUCUCCUUUCUGCAGAAACUACCCCUGGAAAACAAAACCGAGCGAAAAGAAGGGCAAUGCGGGUCUGCGCGGAAGGGAGCUCCCUUCCCGGGGAAGGAGGCGCCUCGCGGUGGCACACUCGCCGGCGGGAUGUAGGUAGGGGCAGACUAGGGUGAGAAGGGGGACUUGCGGAACACGGGUCUCCCGCGGGUCCGAGGGACAGGGUGCAGGCGCAUUCCAGGCACCUAGGGCAGUCCAGUCUGCUCUGCGGAGCGGGAGCCGGCCCCAGGCUCUCCACAUCUCCCAGGAAUCCAGAAGCUCGACUGCGGGACAGUUGUGUCGAUGGGGACCCCCCCAGCUGGAUUUUCAUUCCACUUGCUCCCUUGAUCGAGUGCUCACGCCCGGCAGGAGCUGGCUGUGCGCCGCCCCGGGUGGGUGGAGGUGCGUGGGGCUCGGGCCUUGGCUCGCUUGGGUGUGUCCCAGUCUUUUUCCUCCAGAAUUAAAGGCCUCUGCAGGGCGCAGAGCCCCUCUCCCCCUCUCCUAACUCUCCUCCCCACCUCGCCGCGGCCUAAGCUAAGAUGAGGUGAGCUUCCAGGGCUGUGUCCCUAGGAGGCCCCGAGCACUUUUCCUCCGAGGGUCGAAGAAAUCAGGUCCCCUCUCUUUCCCCAGCGCCCUCUGAGGAAGCCGCGAACCUCUGAGCGAGCGUGGUUUUACUGGGGAUUCCUAGCGACCUGCCCUGUGCCCAGCGACGCCCCAAGGGGAGAGGAGCUCUGUGGAGGGGCGGUGUGGGGGUGGGUGUCUACACUACAUCCUCUGGCUCGGAGCAGGACCCGGUGAUGCGCCCUGGCCGAGCUCCUGUCUCCUAGGAAUGCGGGUGCCUCGGGCCCUGUCGGGACCCUUGGUUCGACCGGAGGGCCCGGGAGUGGGAGCCUGGAUCCAACAGGCACCCGGAUCCAGGAGUCAGACUCCUUGGUUCCGAACGUUUCUUCCGGAGCGAAAGCUUGCUCCCCCUUCCCCCAAGUCCCUCGCGGGCUGGGAGGUGAAGGGAGCGACAGAAGCCGGGCCUCCUCCGCAGCGCCCAACGCCCCGGGCUCUCCGGGUCCCGGGACGUGGCUCGGGUGCGUGGAGGGACGGCUGGGGGCGCAGAUUUGUGAAUGAACCUCGGAGCUCUUUGCAGCUCACAGAUCAGAGGCUGCGAUCGCCCCACCGACGUGGUCCAAUGAGCCGCCGCAAUAAGCUCUGAGCGACGAAACGGAGGCACGGCCUGGACUCUGCGGCACCGCGCUGCGCAGGGCCGGACGGGGGAGGGGCUGAGCCACUGCAGCAACUUCAAAGCCUGUGUCGGGGCUCAGCAAUGGGUGGGCUCUCCCCGGGCCGCACGGUUCUCAAGGGCCUCCCCCGACCCCCACCGCCACCCCGUCGGAACGCCCAGAGGCGUUCCCAGCCCAAGUGAUGGAGACUCUGACUCCCAGUUGUCUCCGCGCCCUCCGCUUGCGCGUCCUUGGCGUCUCCCCCGGGACCCGGGGGGCGAUCACAUUCUGAGACCUAAUCCGGUUACUUCCGGGCGUGGGUCUCCACCGCCUCCCGGGCUGGCUGGACUCGCUUCCUAAGUAGCUGUCUCAUUCACCAUUCGCCGCCAGCUCCCCUUUCAAAAUUCAAGUCUUCGGCUGCCUCCCUGUCGCUCUCCGCUCUCCGCUCUCCGCUCUCCGUGCGAGGGGAGGGGAGGGGGAGGAAGGAGCGGACACCCAUGUGUGCCCGGGAGGGGCCCGCACCGCCUCCCCGCUCCCUCAGCAGAGGCCCUGGGCCCCCUCUUCAGAGGGAAAUCGGUGAGCAGACACUAAGUGACGCGAGCCCCGGCCCCUUCCCCGCCGGGGGAUCUCCGUGCGUUCCAGAAGCGCACCUGGAAGCAAUUCUCCUCGCGUAACCGUCGCCUCCUAAGCAUCUCCAGCAUCUUCACAUCUCCUAAACAUCUGCACAAUUCUGCGCUGUUUUCUGGAGGACCUCGGAGACGGGGAGGGGACGAUGGGGUGCCGUGGGGGCAGGGAAGGAGAGAGGUCAGGGGUUACGCAGGAUUACGGCUCGGCUCGGUGACCCUUCUCAUCCUCCGUGGCCCAGGGAGGGGAUCUGUAGCGAGGGCUCCAGACCUCUUUUGCAAAACCGAACUCUGGGGGAGGGCUUGCGUCCCAUGAAGCACGGGGAAGGUCUAAAUGACGAACACCCACGAGCGGCCGGGAGCGGAAGAUGGCAGGAUCGACGGGCCCGGGAGGGAAGAUGGGCGUGCGUCUCCAGUGACCAUGGCACGAGGCGGCGUCCUGCUCCGCACCACGCUACAACCCAACCAGGCCUCCGCCCCUCCGCGCUUGAACAGGGCGGGUCCACCCGGGCGGCGAGCUCGAGCUCAGCGCAGCCUCAGCCCGGCGCCUCCCUCCCGCUUGCUGGGGAAGAGGUGGGAAACCCUCUCCGCCGCGCCCUGGCUCCCACCGCAGGCCUCCGAGAAUAAACUCUCUCAGGGAGACUGAACUGUCCCCACCCUCUGUCCCAGCCUCAAGAGGGACUUCCUGAAAAUAUGGCAGCCAAGAAUAGGGUGAAAAUGUAAGCCUGAGGUUUCCUUCUCCACCUCCCCCUGCUCCCUGCUCCUUCACCUCCACACUUCCCACCAGCCCAGAGGGGUCCAGCUGUAACCACCACCACCGCCACCUCUACGGUGCUGACGACUGUCACCAUUUCCUUCCAGUUCCAGCUGCCUCCUGGAUGCCUCCACUGGAAGGCUGACGAGCACCUUCAAUUUCACGUGUUCACUUCAGAGCACCCCCGAUCCCGCUACCCCUGCUGCCCUGAUCUGCGCCUUCCCAGUUUCUCCCAGUCACCCAGCUGGCCACCCCCCAGGAGACAUCCCUGAUCCCUCAUUUUCUCUCUAGAGCCACCUCCUGUCCCUUAGCAAGGCCUGCUGGCUCUGCCUCCACGUCUUUUCCACAGCUCCCCCAUACUCCUGCGUCCUCCACCAGCCCCCAAGCCCUUUCCCCCUCCACCUGCAGGGUUGCAUGGCCUCCUAACCAGCUCUCCACCUCACACAUGUGCCCUGUGGUCCACCGCUCUCCCUACAACAGAGUAAGCUUCAGCUCAGACCUACCCUUGGUCAAAACCAGUGGUUUCCAUGUGCAUGAGAAUUAGACACAUCCUUACAAUGUCCUUCAAGGCACAAUGAAAUCCACCAGCCACCUCCCUCACCUGAGGUUCUAAGUCUAGUUUUGCCAGUUCUUGAGCCUCCAAGCCAUGGCCACCUCAGGGGAGCUCUUUUCCUUUGGUCCUGACUCUUUGUUCAUCUGGUACAUUCUUUCUCCAUAUCUUUGGGCACAGACUGUUCCCCAGAGAAGGGUCACAUGAUCUAAAAUGACUCCCUAAUCCAGGUGUGUUCCCCACAGCACUUAUGGCUACUUGCAGUUGUAAAGGUGUUGGUGCGUUUAUUAUUGGUCUCUCAUCUAGAACAUACCUUCCAGAGGGCAGGGCCUCGUCUUCCUGGCUGUACCCCCAGUCCUGCUAAAGGGACUGGCACACAGUAACAUGAAGCCAGUGCUCCCAGACUUUUUGGUCACAGGACUGCUUUAUGCUCUUAGAAAUUUACUGAGCCCCCCAAAGAGCUUUUGUAUAUAGCAACGGAUAGAUUUAGAUGUCUAUCCGGUGAUUUGCGCAGUAUGAUGAAAUGGUAAUGUUUUAAAUAUAUUGAUUAAUUGAUUCAUUUACAAUGACAAUAAAAACCCACUUCAUGUUUACUUAACAUAUUUUAAUGAACACUUAUUCUAUUCCCCCAAACAAAAAAAAAUUAGUCUGGAGAGUGGUGUACAUGUUUGCACCCCUCUUUAAUAUCUGGCUUAAUAGAAGAUAGUUGGAUUCUCAUUUUUGUUUGUGCAAUCCAUUAUUUUGGUUCAAGUAUAUGAAGAAAAUGCAACCUGUCACAGAUAUGCAGUUGAAAACUGGAGGAGUAUUUUAUUAGCCUUGGCAGAUAAUUGUGAACAUUUUUCCUUGAUAUUACCCCCAAAUUCAACAAAUGGUGGUUUCUUAAAGGUUGGUUGCAAUGUGGAAUCUGAAACCAUGUCAAUGAACAUUUCAUACUCUAUUACAUUAAAAUCCAUUUAUCUGUCUUGCACUUUGAAUGGCUCUUUUGCCCACAAAAUAUUUCCUUCCUUCCUUCCUUCCUCCUCCCUCCCUCCCUCCCUCCCUCCCUCCCUCCCUCCCUCCCUCCUUCCCCUUUUCCUUCCCCUUCCCCUUCCCUUCCCUUCCCUUUCUUUUUGACAGAGUCUCUCUCUGUCACCCAGGCUAGAGUGCAGUGAUACAAUCUCUGCUCACUGCAACCUUGCUUCCUGGGUUCAAGUGAUUCUCCUGCCUCAGCCUCCCCAGAAGCUGGGAUUACAGGUGCAUGCCACCACACCCAGUUAAUUUUUUGUAUUUUUAGUAGAGAUGGGGUUUCACCAUGUUGGCCAGGCUGGUUUCAAACUCCUGACCUCAAGUAACCCACCUGCCUCAGCCUGCAAAAUAUUUCAUGCCACUGUAUAUUGGUCAUUUGGAAAAUAUUGGUUCACUGAGUUAUGCAGGUCUUCCAAAUGUCGAACUAUUUCCUUAAACAGUAUCACAAAAUCACAUUUGUUAAUAUCACCACUAAUCUUAUUGGAAAACUCUUUAAAUUUGGGAGGUUGUCUGACUCAUGAUGUUGGAUACAAGUUUUCAAGAAUUUUAAUUUUCACUUAAAAACUCACAUUUUACCUUUAGUGGUAAAUACUACUUUCCUCAACACGACAGGGUAGUUUCAUUUAUUUUUGCAAAGGUGUCUGUCAAAGACCUAAGUCUCAAUAACCAUGAUUUGUCUGUUGGGUGCCGUUCCAUGUAAAAUGAGGCUCCAUGAAAAAGCGGGCUCAGUCAGCUCAUGGCUGUAGCCCGCCCGUCCUUUUCCUCGAUGGCCGCUGUUCUUCUGUAUGACAGCUCCCCCUUUCUUCACCCAGAAUAUUGAAAAGACAUGUGCUCCAGAGCUGAGCUUUAAUAAAACUAUUUUUUUUUCACUGUUUCUUCAAGAACAUUCUUAAGUAAAACCUGCAUUUGAAAAAAAAAAAAAAACCUGUGAGUGUGUGGCUGUGAAGAGCACAAUGUCUGCUACCAAUGGCCAAUAACAACCUUUAAUGGCCUUCAUCCAUGUGGAGCUGGACUCACUGGUUUAACGGCCUUCAUCCAUGUGGAGCUGGACUCACUGGUUUAACGGCCUUCAUCCAUGUGGAGCUGGGCUCACUGGUUUAACGGCCUUCAUCCCUGUGGAGCUGGGCUCACUGGUUCAACGGCCUUCAUCCACGUGGAGCUGGGCUCACUGGUUUAACGGCCUUCAUCCCUGUGGAGCUGGACUCACUGGUUCAACGGCCUUCAUCCAUGUGGAGCUGGACUCACUGGUUUAAUGGACUUCAUCCAUGUGGAGCUGGACUCACUGGUUUAACGGCCUUCAUCCAUGUGGAGUUGGACUCAGUGGUUUAACGGCCUUCAUCCAUGUGGAGCUAGACUCACUUUUUUUUUUUUUUUUUGCACAUCAAUGCUGAUGUCUACAUGCAACAAAGCUACAUAAUGACUCACAGUGUAACUGUAAAAAAAAGUUUGGAGGUUGUCUUAGGGAACCCCAGGAUCUGCACUAAAUGAGAUUUCAUAAAUGAAUGAAUGACUUUUCCUACACAAUCACGUAUGGUGGAUCCUAGAUGUCCACAGUUUCUCAUCUAAAGCUCUGGGCCACAGACACGUUUCAGAAUUUCUUUGAUUUUGGACAGGUCAGGUGGUGCACAUAUCAUGUGCCACCUAACCCCGUGGGGUGUGAGCAGGGCCCUAUCUAACACAGUCAUAGUUCUGUGGUAAAUACAGGAAAAGCUGAACCAGCAGGUAACAGCCACAAGGAGCCUAUGUCUGUUCAAGUCAGGUUCUGCUGUCCAAGGAGUUAGGAAGACACCCUCCCAUUUUGAAAGCAUUUGGAUUUUGGAGUUGUAGACCAGGGGUUGUGGGCCUAUCUCCUGAUCUCCACUCCACAAGGGUACCUCGGGGAACAGACGGCCAAGGUCUCCUGGCGGGUGAAGGAGCUGGGAAUGGAGCACCCAGGGCCUGUUGAGCUUCCACUCUGUCAUCUCCCCUCCCCUCCCCGCCCCGUGACCUCAACCACAUGGCCCUCCUAACACGAAGGCUUCCAAGGCCUUUCCUGCCCGGCCCUGGGAUUCCUUUCCCCUUCUCCAGCCUUGUGUCCUCCACACACUCUGAACUGUGGCCAUGCAGGGCCACUCUGCGUGGUCCUCUGAUAUUCCAGCAUAAUCUCUCUGAUCAUUCUGGACUCUGGGCCUUGUCUCUCUAGGGCUAUAGCACCUAUUGGUGCCUCUCAGCUUACCUGACCUCCCUGGGAUACACUUCUUUUUUAAUUUAGUUUUUAAUAUUUAUGGGUACAUAGUAGGUGUAUAUAUUUGUGGGGUGUGAGACGUUUUGAUUCAGGAACAUGUGCAGUAAUUACAUCAUGGAAGAUAAGAGUAUCUAUUCCUUCAAGCAUUUACCCUCUGUGUUACCAACAAUCCAAUUAUACCCUUUUAGUUAUUCUUAAAUGUACAAUGAAAUUAUUAUUGACUAUAGUCACUCCUUUGUGCUAUCAAAUAGUAGAUCUUAUUCAUUCUUUCUAAUGACUUUUUUGUACCCAUUAGCUAUCUCCACUUCCCUAUUGCUGAAGGACCACUUUGGAUUCCUGAACUCCCAAGGGACUUUCCAGCUUUUGGACUUUCGUUUUUCCAGUAUCACUUAUGAGGACCCAAGUUCUACCAGGGCUUCUCCUACAUUGAAAAUGAUUAUAUCUAAGAUUCAAACAGAAAUUUUGUGUCUUGGCAAAUUUGAUAUCUGGAGGGUGAAUAUUAUUUAGAAAACAACCACCUUCUACUUUCUGCUUCUAUGAAUUUGAUGAUUCUAGGAGCCUCAUGCGAGUGGCAUCUUGUAUUAUAGUAUUUGUCUUUUUGUGUCUGGCUUGUUUCACUCAGCAUAAUAUGCUCAAGGUUCAGCUGCGCUGUGGCCUGUGUCGGGCUUUCCUUCCUUUCUAAGGCUACUAUUCCACUGUGUGUAUGUAGGCAACACUUGCACACCACAUUUUCCGUACCCAUCCAUCCCUCUGUGAACACUUGGGAGGGAUUGGGGACUGCAUGGCCCCCAGCCAUAGGUGUGCUGAGCACGUAAGAUGUACCCAGUGUGGCUGAAGAGUGGAAUUUUUAAUUUUAAUUAACAUAAAUGUAGAUUUACAAAUAGAUUUUCAAUUCAGCUCCUGGGAAACCCCCAAAGAUGUCUGAAAUAACUUGGGCGUGUGACGCUACCUUUUUACCUGCAAGCUUAAUGAACCCUAAAUGCAGGUCAAGUAUUUGCCAUGGAAAUGCAAUGCCCAAGCUGAGAUAUGCUAGAGGUGUAAAAUGCAUGCUGGAAUUGGAAGACCUAGUACCAAAAAAAAAAAUUGGAUGUAAAAUGUCUUGUUAAUUUGUAUAUUGAUUACUUUUGAAAUAAUAAUAUUUUGGAUAUAUUAGGUCAACUAAAAUAUUACUUAAAUUAACUGCACCUGUCUCUGGUGUUCAUGUGGCUGCUAAAAAGAUUAAAAUUGC